Molecule: ribosomal RNA, 603 nt
Filed under: Triticum aestivum (bread wheat)
Lineage: Eukaryota; Viridiplantae; Streptophyta; Magnoliopsida; Poales; Poaceae
Description: partial small subunit ribosomal RNA
Source: RNAcentral
AUGUCUGAGGGAAUGAAACUGAAGUUUGACAAAUAUUGGAAAGAUGUACAUGGUCUGAUGUCUGUUGCGACUGUUCUUCUUCAUAUGCUGCAAGCUCUUUUUGGUUCUCUUUAUGGAAUGGAAUAUGCAGCUGUGAAAGUUGCUAAAAUAAGGAACUCAAUGGCUGAAUUGUUGGAUAUAUAUCAAAAAGAUGAUGAGGCCACGACUACAUCAAAGGUUGUUAGCACGGCUGUUGCACAAGUUGCUGGAAUAGAUGAUGUAAUGAAAAUAUUUGAUAAAUAUAUGUCCUCACAGCCUACAAUUUGUACUUCUCAAGUCCGAACUGAAUUAGACUUGUACUUGGGAGAGCAGCCUAUCAACCGAAUACCAUACAAAGAUAUGGAUAUCAUCAAUUGGUGGAAGUUUGGAGGAGCAAAAUAUCCCACUUUGCAAAGAAUUGCUCAUGAUAUAUUGCCUAUCCCCGUGACAUCAGUGGCAUCAGAAUCAGCCUUUAGUACUUGUGGCAGACUACUUAGUCCCCAUCAUAGCUGACUUACACCAAAAAUCGCUGAAGCUCUUAUGUGUAUGCAAGCUUGGUCCCGUGCUGAUAUGAUAGGUAAUUAA